This is a long non-coding RNA of Marmota monax (woodchuck), 823 nucleotides long. RefSeq lists it as uncharacterized. The transcript is spliced from 6 exons. The record is from RefSeq and is a predicted model, not a curated record. NCBI's taxonomy places the organism in Eukaryota, Metazoa, Chordata, Mammalia, Rodentia, Sciuridae.
CUUGGCAUUAUGGACCUCAAACAUCUUCACAUGGUUCUAAUUUGCAGUCAAGAUUGAGAGCCACUGAUCUUUAACUAGAUUUUUAUUUUUUUUUAAGGAAUUGCAGCGGAUAUGGUGACUAGUUUGGGUUGGCAUGACUGGCAGGAAUUCUAUCAUGGACAAGGAAACAUUUUGUGCAGGGUCUCCCUACAAUUGCUGAGGCUGGCCUUGAACUUGUAAUCCUCCUGCUUUGGGUUCCUGAGUUACUAGGAUUACAGUUCUCGGCGGGCACAACAUCUUUGUUUGUAUGUGGUGCUGAGGAUCGAACCCGGGCCGCACGCAUGCCAGGUAAAUGGAUGGUCUUGGAGAAAAUAAUGCUAAGUGAAGUUAGCCAAUCACCCAAAAGCAAAUGCCGAAUGUUUUCUCUGAUAUAAGACACUGGCUCUUGUGGGUGGCAGCAGACCUGGACCUUUCAAGGUUACUCACAUAUACAAUUAUUGCUGCGAUGGCCAUGAAAUGGAUGAUCUAGUUACCACUCUGCGGUUCUCAAAAAGAAAAAGGUACCAUAAAUGAGACUAGGUGUAAAGAAACAAAAAGCACUCACCUGUUGCUUCUUCAUCAAAGCAAGCAAAAGCAUUUCUAAUGACAUCUUCGGGAUCUGUGCCAUUUAACUUCUCACCAAACAUGGUGAGGAACAUGGUGAAAUUGAUGGGUCCUGGAGCCUCAUUCAUCAUGGCAUCCAGGUAGGCAUCAGUGGGAUUCUUCCCUGCAAGAAUUCACAGUUGAACAUGUGAGGACAAAGAGCUAAUUUCAAUAAACAUUUUUCUAUUGUUAUGCUUCCCAA